Molecule: long non-coding RNA, 27659 nt
Filed under: Ricinus communis (castor bean)
Lineage: Eukaryota; Viridiplantae; Streptophyta; Magnoliopsida; Malpighiales; Euphorbiaceae
Description: long non-coding RNA (RCOM_LNC001004)
Rfam family: Plant small nucleolar RNA R71 (bases 3490-3595)
Source: RNAcentral
UGGCUAUAAAUAAUAGUAGUAACAGCAAAGAGGCAAUUGUCAAAUAUUAACAAACUCAAUAAUCUCCAAACAUGAAAGCCUCUUUGAUAAUAUGCAUUCUCUUGGUUGCCAUUCUCUUCUCUCCCUCUUCAACUUCUGCUCGACAAUUAGCUGCUUUAGGCGCCGGCAACCCAAAACUUCCUCCGUUUGGAUGCGGCAGUGGCAAACGAUAUUGUAUUCCUUCUAAAAGUCCUCCUUGCAGCCCUUACAUCCGCAAUUGUCCUCCUAACACCAGCCCUUGAAGAGCUAAAGAGAAUAGAUGGAGUUCUCAGCCAACGACAUCAGUCUUGAGAAUUUCUUUAUUUUAAUUUUCAGUCCAAGUAAUUGUAACCGAGUCUAUCAUCAUAUACAAAUAAAGGUAUAAUAUAUAAGUUGCUUGAUAUGAGUCUAUUCUAUUUAUUUUUAGUUUAAUAUUUUAACAUAUGACAUUGUUUUGCAUGUCUUUGCCCUAAUAUAUUAUCAUGUUCUUGCAGAAUUUACAUAUGGUAGUAGAGAUAGAAUGUUAAAAGAUUGUAGAUAAAAAAAAAUUCUAUAGAAAAUGAAAAAUAACCAUUAUAACUUGGAUUUACUUUGUUGAUAUGUUAAUAUACCGAGUUAUUAUGCAUAUGAUUUAUACGCUUUAGUAAAAUUAGUACUAACCUUCCAAAAUCUAAGUGAGUUUGUGGAGAUUUUAUUAUUGUUAUCCUCGAAUGAUAUAUUAUGGAGAACUAUUAAAUAAGUUUUUGUAGUUUAUUGGCUAUAAUAUUACAAUGUUUUAAUUUGCCUAUGGUUAUAAGAAUGUAAUUAAGUUUCAAUUGCGUUGAUAUGUAUUUAACUUGGAUUUUUUCACUUACAAUUGAGAAGUUGAGAACUCUUUUCGACUCUAUUUGAAUAAAUCUCUUUACUUUAGUAACUAUUUUUAAUUGUAAAUUUUUCGUUGUAAAUUGAUAAAAAGAAUUGAUUAUCAAAAUGAGAAAGAAGUAUAAUUUAAUUAUAAUAAAAAAAUAAUUUGCUAUUUUAUUUAUUAGAAUAAUUCAGUUAAUUAAUAUUUAUUGGUGCUAAGAUUUGAAUCUGUUAACUCAUAUUAAUAACUGACAUGAAAGAUUUGAAAUAAAUCACUAAUUUUGCAUAUUAAUAUCCUUUAUAAAAAAUUAAUAUUUCUUUAAAUAUUUAAUGAAAAUAUAAGAUAAAAAUAUAAAAAAAUUAAUUUAGAAUGAAAAUUAAAAAAAUCUAAAACAUAUUAAUAUUCAUAUAAUAUUAUUAUCUAAAACUGAGUUAAUUGACAAUUAAUAUAUUCAUUAUGACUUUAUCUUGUGCUCGAUAAUAUAUGAAUCUUAUAAUGAUAGUGGUAACUAAAUUUAUAAAAUUAUAUAUCAAAUAAAAAAAGAUAAGAUUGAAAGAAAAAGUAAAUCAAGGUUUAAUUUACGUUAUGCUGGAUUAGAGCUUUAAUAAAAGAGGGUUGAUUGAAGAAAAACUCAAAUAGAAAAUAUCCUAUUACAUUACCCUUAUUAAGAAUAUUAAUAUUCAAUACUACCAUACUAUUUCAUUAAAUUAAUCUACUUUUAUAAUAUAUAUGGAUCUUUAGUUAUCUAAUAAUAUGUUAAACUUAUUUAUUGCUAGCUAUAAAAAUAAUCAGUAGUUAUUUUAUAAGUUAUAAAUUAGUUUAUUUGUAGAUGAAUUUACUAUAAUAUUUUUAUCAUUAUCUUAAUAAUAUAAAUGAUUAUAAUGUUAAAAUUGAAAAUAUAUAUCAUUUUAUUUUUAAGUAAUAAUAAGUCAAAUAGUUAAUAUUUACAUAAGUAAAACACAAGUUAUAUUAAUUGUGAGAUAAUGAAAGCUAACAACGCUCUCACAUUGGCCUACUCUUUAAGCUCUAGUCAACUAUAAGUCUAUGGAAUCAUAUUUUUAUUACUAGAAGUUCUUUUCUCCUUUUAUAAAAUUUAACAGCAUAGAGAAUUAGUUCCUAAAGAAUUAUGAUAAAAACAUAGGACUUAAAUACAUUCGACUUCACCUCCUCAUCUUCUACCCUUAACAUAAGAUUGCCAUUAAACAUAACAAUGAUAAUCUUAGUGGUCAUUAUGAAAAAUCUGAACUCCUUAUAUUUCGUCGACUUAAAUACAUUCAAUUUCAUUUCCUUAUCUCCUACCUCAAAAUAAUAUUGCAAUUGAACAUAUCAAUGAUAAUCUUAUUGGUCAUCAUGAAAGGUCUCCCAAAAUGAUUGGAACCUCUUUGUCCUCCUCACAAUGUAAGACAAUAAAGUCCAUCAAAAAGAAGAAUUUGUCCAUCUUAAUAAGGAUAUUUUCAACUAUUUCCAAUGGUUGCUUAACAAAACGGCUGCCAUUUUAAGGCCCACUUUUGUUGGGCGCAUAUCUCUUAGUCCUAGCUUCCUCGAAAUAGAUAAAGGCAUAAGAUUAAUAGUUGCACCUAAAUCUAACAAAGUUUUCUUAAAUUGUACAUCACUAACAGUGCAAAGGAUAGUAAAACAUUCCAAAUAUUGAAGCUUUUGCAGCAUUCAGUUGAGCAUAAUGGCACUAGAAUGCUCUGUCACUAAAAUAGUAUCAUAGUCUUCUAACUUCUUGUUGUUGGAGAUGAGCUCCUUAAGAAACUUGAUAUAAUUUGGCAUGUGAGCAAGCGCCUCCACAAAUGGGAUAUUGAUUUGAAGCUUCUUGAACAUUUUUAAGAAAUUGGCAUUAUGCUUUACAUCUCCAUAUAUCCCUUAAGCCAUUGAGGAUAUGGAAUAGAAGGCAAUAUAAAGGCACUUUAGGAGGUGGAGGAAUAACAUCCUCCUUUUCUUCCUUCACAAGCUCUUCCUGGGUAGAGGGAGGUGUGGAAUCCUCUAAGUCUAUAAUUAGUGCCUCAUCGUCAACUUUUGCUAUACCCUUAUCUUCUUUCUUUUUACCCACCUUAAGAUAUAUCUCUUCUACUUUUUAGAGAAAUAGCUUUACAAUGCUCCUUUAGGUUCUUGGUAUUGCUUGGUAAACUCCCUUACGAUCUUUCAAUUAGAGACUUAGCUAUUUGACCCAUUUGUAUCUAUGAAUUGUGAAUUGAAAAAUGGUACUUGGCAAUUUGGUUAAUCUUGGCCUCUAGCUUCUCAUGCUUAUCAUUCACCGCACUUACAAACUUCUCUAAAACAACUUCCUACGUUCCGCUUAUUAUUGAAAAGUUGGUGGGGCUUGAGGUCUUUGCACAUUUAAUUGAUUGCUUUAUCUGAAGUUAGAAUGAUUUCUCCAUCUAGGGUUAUAGUUGUUUAAGAGGGAUUGUUGACUUGUUGAUAGGAAAACUACCACCUAAUUUACUUGCUCAGAAGAAGACAAAGUGAAUGGGUUCCCAACUCGACAAUCCAUACUUGUGUGCCUAUUUCCACCGCACAACUCACAAACUAAGAAAUUGAUGGAAUUAAUAGCAUUACAAUUCAUGGAACUUACUUGCUUCAUGAGAUUAGUAAUUUGAGCUUGAAGAGCCAUCCAUUUUGGAAACCCAUGAUGAGGACAAUAUCUCAAAAAAAUCUUAGACCUCUCUUAAGAUCAUAUAAGGACUCAUCUUUCCCUUGUCUAAAAUUUGAAAUUUUGGACCUGAUGACUUUGCUGGUGGAAAAUGUUUACUAAGAGAACGCUUUAUUAACUCAUCCCAAGCGGUAAUUGUUCUCGGUAGUAGAGAAUUCAACCACAUUCUUGCUUUACUGCUAAGAGUGAAAGGGAAGAGCCUCAACUGCAUGGCAUCCUCACUUGUAUCAUUAAUCUUAAAAGUGGCACACACAUUUAAAAAUAAUUAUAUAUGCUCAUUAGGGUCCUCAUUAAGCUAACCUAUGAGACAAAGAGCCUUGUAUCUAACGCCCAUACCUAAGAAACUAUAAUAAUAAUAAUAAUAAUAAUAAUAAUAAUAAUAAUAAUAACAAUAAUAAUAAUAAUAAUAAUAAUAAUGAUGAUGAUGAUGAUGAUGAUGAUGAUGAUGAUGAUGAUCUCAAAACUAGAAGUUUUUAAAAUUUGAUGCAUGUGAUUAGAGUAAAGGAUUGUUUUUUUAGUUGGAUCAUUUGUAAGAGAUUAUUAAUAAGACCUUACUUUAAAAUGGGAUUUUUAAUGUUAGAUAAAAUAUAAAAGGAUUUAUUAAACUAUAUUUAAUUAGUUUGAUUAAGUAGCAUAUUAGAUAAGUGAUCUAUAUAAAAGGUAAGUUAUUUCUCUGUAAAUGUUGUACUCAAAUUUUUCUUGAUAUGAAUAUACAAACUGAAUAUUAUACUAGGAGGUUGUAAAAAAUAUUUUUUUUCUUGAGAGUUUAUUUGGGAAUGAUAAAUUUUUAUUUAGCAAAUGAUAUUGGAUUUAAUUAAAAAUAGUUACUAAAUUGAUUAAUUAAGUUAAUUAAGUUUUAGGAUUAAUUUGAUAAUUAUUUAUGAGAUAAGGGCUAAAAGUAUAAUUGAUUUAUUAUGGAAUUUACGUGAGGAAAUAGACUUGUUGGCAUUUUUAUAAAUAAAUGUGUCAAUAGGGGCAUUAAGGUAAUUCUUAAUUUAUAAGUAAGGUUAAAAUAGUAAUCUUGUAUUUAUCUCCAUUUGUAAUUUAACCUAAAAUUAAAGGAUUAAGGUCAAAUUGAUAGAAUAAUAUCAAGCUUGAGGGGUUUAACUGAUAUUUCCAAGGAGUUAUGGUUGUUCAAAGAAAAAUUGAGGGACCAAAAGUGGAUAUGGGUAGAAAAAGAAAAGAAAAGAAAGAAAGGAAGAGGAAGGAGAUGAAGAAAGGGGGAGAAGAAGCUUGGAGUUGCCUUCAAUGGCAGAUGAGGGACGAGUUAGUUUGAGGUGCGGUAAAGCUGGCUAGAGGAAGAGGAGGCAACAACGAGCUCAAUGGAGGCGACAGUAGCAGCUACCAGUGGCGAUAGACGACAAAAAAUGGAGAAGAACGCAACAACUUCUCGCCGCCAUGCAGGGUGAUAACGACAUCCGUUUACAGUGAUUAUAGUCUCAGAAGACCAAUAACUUGUGGGCUUCCCUUUUUGCCUAUCAUUAACCCGUGAGGUUGUUGAAAAAGCAAAAUCCGAUGAGAGGAAGCUUGUAAGGGCAAUUCAAAUUUUUGAAUUUUUCGACCAAAGUCAUUGUGCUUCAGUUGAUCAAAGAUCAUAUUUGAGACCUAUGCGUCACAAGCUUUCCGAUGACACCUAUUUCAUGACAAUUGGACUUCAUUAGAAGAUCAAUGGUUGGAAACUGUCUGGGAUGUUUCCAGAUGAUCGGGGCUGGAUCGAAAAAUAAGAUGCUAGAAUCAUUCUCUACGCAUCGUUUUGAGUUUAUAGACGCGUGAUUAGACUCCAAAGGCCGGAGGCGAGUCAACUGAUUUAGCAGAUGUCUAGGUAAUUCUUUAGCCUAUUAAUUUUAAAAUUGUUAACUAAAAAUAUACUAGUAUUAAUUGGAAAAAGUGUUUAAUGUAGGUAUAUAUCUUUGCAAAAUCAAAAUAUGUUGAGCAAUGUAAUAAUCUUAUAAAAACUCUAUCAUUAGUAUCUUUAUGAAUAUUUUAAAUGUGAAACUAGUUAAUUUGAGUAAAUAAUUUAGUGGACCUUAAUAUAUUAGUCAUAAAUCUCAAUAAUUAAUUAAAUAUAUACGAUUGAGAUUUUAAUUUAUUUAUUAAUUUAUUAAUUUAAUUGUGUUAUUAGUAGAUAAUUGACAUAAUGACUGAAAAAUAUUAUAUUUUGCUAGAAUAGAUAAAUGUAGUAAAAUGUACAUUUAAGUGAUGGGAGAAAAUAAAUAAAAUUAGUAUUAGCUAUAUGAUAAAUAAUACUAUUGACAUGAACUAAUUAGAUAAGAUAUGAUGCUUGAUUUGUGAGGUAGAUCAAUUAUUACUUUAUACUCAGGGUUAAUUAAAAUAGCCAGUGGAUAAAUAUUAAUGUUAGAAAAUAAAUAAAUAGAAUUAAUAAUUAAUAAUUAAUCUAGUUAUUGAUAUGUUUGGAGGAAAGUAAUUGUAAUAAAAUUUCAUGUGCUAGAAAAGUAUCUAGAUAAGAUGGAAAUUAAUCUAGAAUGUUAUACGGUUUGAUCAAAGGGAGAUCAAGUUAAAUAAAAAUUUAUAUUUGGAGAUCUCGGAUAGAAAUUAUUAUUGGGAUGUGUCGUGUGAAUUUUCUUGCAGGUUGUGGACAUAUUUUACAGGGAAAUUAGUCUGUAUUGUAGAGGAUGUGCUGCUGAAAUUUUUAGUAAAAUUAAUCAAUCAGAAUAGGAAGGGAAUAAAUAGGAAUAUGCUAAAAUAAGAUUAGAAUUAAAAGUUUAUAAUUAGAUUUUAGAUAUAGAAUGAUAAACGUUGGUUAAGGAGAGAUUAAUUCAAAAACAUGUUUUUACAUGAAAUUCUAGAGUUAUGCAAUCAGAUAACAGUCUGAAGAAAAUUAGCAGAAAAUAAUUAAUUAGGUGAAAGUAUAGUCGGUUGAGUCCUGCAUACCAAGUGAGUGGAUAAACCUAUAAUAUCAUAUUUUUUAAUAAUAUAUUAUUUAUAUUUUAAUUUUUAUGAAUUGUUGAAAUACAUUUUUAAACAUCAUUAUUUUCUAUAGAAAUUUGGAACAAUUACUGGUAAUUUUAGUCUUAUUUUAUAUACGAUUAUGAUAUUACAUAGCUGGAUAAAUGAGUAUACUCUCAUUUAUGUGACUUAUGAGAUCACACCUUGGACAUCGAGUGUAAAUAUAAUAUACUAUCUUUGGGACAACGCUUAGUAUACUCAUCGCCUUUGUGGUGUAUACUAAGUGGUGUCUUUUUGGAGGUAAUAGCUUAAACACUUAUAUGUUUUAACAAAAUUAAAUAGAUAAGUUUUAUUAUAUAUAGGACUUAUCCAUAUUUUUUAAUUCUAAUUAUAUGUUAACCUGUUUGACUUAUUGUUGGAGGUAAUAUUAUUCUGACACCGAUGUCAUAAGGCAUAGAAUCAACUGCUAUAAGAAGGGGCUUAAAUGAUGGAUAUUGUGUGUUUUGCAGGUUAUUUGAGCAAAAAAUUAGUUUAGGGACAAUAUACUCUUUAAACCAAACAUUAUAGGCAAAAAUGAACUUUUUCCUAAAAUUUGAGAAGUCACAUUCAAGGUGAUAGCUUAAGAAUCAAUAAUCAACUAAAGAAAAUAACGCCGACGAGACAAAAAGAAAAAGUAAUAUAAAAAGGAUAAAGCCAAAAAAAACCAAAGAAAAAUUUAAUUCUAUUUAGUGUUUGAAUUAUUUUUUUAUUUAAUUAAAUGUCUGAAUUUAAAUAUAUUAUAGUAUUUUUUUAUAAAUUUUAUAAAUUAAAGUAAUAAUUUACUCAAUUUAUACACAAGUUUACCUAAAUAUUCUUGCUCAUUGUUUACAAUUUUUUUUAUUUUUUUUUUUCCUUUUCUUUUUCUUUCCAUUUCCUACCAAAUCCUUUUUUAGCAUUAAGAAAGCAAAGGUGUUGGAUUAAUUUUUUAUAACAUAAAUUUACUUAUUAUUUUUAUUUCUAAUUUUUUUUAAAAAAAUUUAAUACCUCCCUCUCUCUCUUAUAUUUUAAGGUGAAAGAAAUAUAUGUUAUUUUUACUUUUAUUUAAACUCAAACUUAGCAUUAUCUCAAGUCCCUAACUUUUUUUCUGCUUUCACUAUUCUUUGAAAAUCAGUAAUUUAGUUGUUCAUUGCAAGUGAUUUUCUUUUUUCUAGUUGAUUGCAAUAAAUGGUGGAGGCAUCUAACAACAAUAAAAAAUCAAAAUGUCGAUCCAAACUCCAGAAAAUACAGCAAAUCUAACAACAAUCUCAUCAAUAAUUCACUAAUAACAAUAUCAAACAAAAAAACUACAAACUAUAAACUUUUUGAAGUUAAAUUCAUUGAUUCUUCAAUUUUAUAAGAGUUAAUUCUAAUUUUAAAUAUAUACUUAGUUGACUUUAUGUUAAUUUAAGUCUCAUUAUAUUAAAAUGCUUCAAAAACUAUCACAUCAUGUGAUUUUUUUAAGUAUUUUAAAGUUCUAGAAUAUGAAUAUUAGAUUUUAAAAUUCAAAUCUACAGAAAACUAAGUAUUUAGGUCUACAUUACAGAAAACCCAACAAAUAAUAUAUAUAUCGAGUAAAUAUAAGUAUAUCAUGAAUAUAUAUUCUUGAAAUUUAGUAAAUUUUGUGCUCAUAUUAUAUGUAUGAUAUAUGACUUAUACAAUUCUUGUACAUUGACACUAUAUAUAUAUAUAUAUAUAUAUGUAGAAUAUCUAUUUUUCUUCACAACAACGGAUAUUGAAAAAAAAUAUGAGAUACAUAAACUUUGAUGUAAAGGACAUUUAAUAGCAAUAGUUUUUAUAUUCAAUUUCAUGACUUGGUCUCAUAAAUUAAAACUUGUAUAACUAAAUAGUUUUUAUAAUUAGUACAAAGCUAUUAUAAGUGGUUAAAAUAAUUUAUUAGAAUCUAUACUAGUGCAAUAAAUAUAUAGGUUUUAAUGAGUUAAAAAAUGGUGGUAGAUAUUCAUUAUAUAUUCAUAAUAUAAUCGAUAUAUACUAUAUACUGUUAAGUUUAUAAGUUUGUUUGAAUUUGAGUUGACUAUACUUGUGAGUAAUGAAACCCUAAUAAUUGAUUAAUUUCCGUCUACUUUUCUCUAUUCAUUCAACCUGAAUAUAUACAGAAGUUUGUUACAAGGAUAACUUCUAACUACUUACGUAAUAAGCAACCUUAUCAAAAAUACAAUUAGAAUAACAUCUAACUACUACAGCUUAUACAUACUUAUCUCUAUACUAACAAAUUAACUAAAUAUAGUUAACACUCCCCCUCAAGUUGGCAAGUAACAAUUUGUCAUGCCCAACUUGUUUAUGGCAUCAAAAAACUCCUUCUUCGACACAGCUUUUGUAAGAACGUCAGCUAACUGAUUCUUAGACUUCACGAACGGAAAUGAAAGUACUUUCUCGUCCAACUUCUCCUUUAUGAAAUGUCUGUCCACUUUGAUAUGUUUUGUACGAUCAUGCUGUACAAGAUUCUGAGUAAUCUCUAUUGCUGCCUUAUUAUCACAGAAUAAUUUUAUUGGUUUUUCAAACACCAUACCCAAUUCAUUCAAUACACGCAUAAUCCAUAACAACUCACUCACACCAUGAGCCAUUCCUCUAAAUUCUGUCUCAGCACUCGAUCUUGCAACUACCUUCUGUUUCUUGCUUUUCCAUGUCACCAAAUUCCCACCAACAAAGGUAAAAUAGCCUGAAGUCGACCUCCUGGUUGUAAUAUCACCUGCCCAAUCAGCGUCUGUAUACCCUUCAACCUUCAAAUUAUCGCUUUUUGAGAAAAACAGUCCCUUCCCAGGAGAUCCCUUCAAGUACUUUAAGACUCAAAAUGCAGCAUUCAUAUGUUUAUUACUAGGAUUAUGCAUAAAUCUACUAAGAACACUAGUUGCAUAGGCAAUGUCAGGUCUAGUAUGCGAUAGGUAAAUUAAUUUGCCUACUAACCUUUGAUACUUCCCAAUAUCCGCAGCAAUUUGAUUAGGAAAAAUCCCUAACCUAUGGUUCAUCUCAAUGGGAGUAUCACAGGGUUUACAUCCCAGCAUACCCGUAUCUUCAAGCAGAUCAAACACAUACUUACGCUGCGACAAUGAUAUGCCAUCACUCGACCUUAUCACUUCAAUGCCCAAAAAAUACCUCAGCUCUCCCAGGUCUUUUAAUUCGAACUCGGAAGCCAAGUUUUCCUUCAGAUUCUCUAUCUCUGCAUUGUCAUUUCCAGUUACCACCAUGUCAUCCACAUAAACUAUGAGUGCCGUAACUGUUACUCCAUUUCUUCUCACAAACAAAGUGCGAUCAGAUUCACUUUGUUUGUACCCAAAUUUCUUCAUAGCAACAGUUAACUUACCAAACCAAGCUCUCGGUGAUUGUUUUAACCCAUACAAGGACUUCCUCAACUUACAUACUUUGUCUACAUUUGAUCCUAGUAACUUAAUACCAGGUGGUACAUCCAUAUAUACUUCUUCCUCCAAAUCACCAUGUAAAAAAGCAUUUUUUACAUCAAAUUGUCUUAAUGCCCAUCCUUUAGUUGCUGCAAUAGAAAUCAGUAUUCAAAUCGUACCAAGUUUCGCCACAGGUGCAAACGUUUCCUGGUAGUCAAUUCCAUACUUCUGAGUAAAUCCUUUCGCCACCAGUCUCGCUUUUCGCCUGUCUAGACUCCCAUCUGCCUUAAGCUUCACUGUAUAGAUCCAUUUACAGCCAAUCGUAUUCUUCCCCUCUGGUAAUUUCACAAACUCCCAUGUUGCAUUCUUCUCUAGGGCUUUCACCUCUUCCUUCAUCGCCUCUUUCUAUUUCAAGUCUUGCAUUGCCUCCUGCACACUAUUAGGAAUCGUAAUCCCGGAUAAUUCACUAGUGCUAAGUGCAUAAUAAUCUGAUAAAUGGUUAUGCGAUACUUAACAUUAGACUUAAGAUUCGGUUCAUAUUGUUUUCGAGCAAUACCCUUAUUUGAUCUUUGUGGAUAUCUUGAAAUAGAAUCAUUUAAGUUAAUGUCUCCAUCCCGAAGAGAAGAGGAAGUAUCAAGAUUUUCAGAAACAGUAGGAAGAGAACUGACCUGAGGUUCGGUUUCCUCUGGAAAUGGUGUUAAAAUAGGCGACCUCAAAUGCUCCUGUUCCUGUUCGACCCCUUCUCUUAGUGUCACCACAAUUUCCUGAUUACUUCUCCUAUCAGUAUCCAUAAUCAUUUGUCUCUCCACUUCUUCACUGCCAGCCCUAUCACAACUAUCUAGUUUUACAAAUUCUGAAACACUUCUCUCACUCAUACUCUCCCCCUGGUGAAUAGAAUUCUGCGAGUAAAAGAAAUCAGACUCUCUAAACGUAACAUCCAAACUGACAUACAUUUUUUUCCUAUUAGGUUCAUAACAUCUGUAACCCUUUUGAGAAUUAGAAUACCCUACAAAUACACACUUAACAGCUCGGGGUUCUAAUUUAUUCUGAAGUGGUUUCGGGACAUGAGUAAAAACAGUGCAACCAAAUAUACGGGGUUCCAGAUUUGAUUCAUGAGGAAUUCUAAAGAACGUAUGUAGCUUGGCCUGGGGAGUUUGAAAAUUUAAGACACUAGACGGGGUUCGAUUUAUCAAAUACACUGCCGAUUUUACUGCUUCUCCCCAAAACACCUAGGCAUGUUUGCUCCAAAUAAAGAUGCCCUAACUACUUCUAAAAUUUGCCUAUUCUUACGUUCCGCUAAUCCAUUUUGUUGAGGGGUAUAAGUACAUGAGGUAUUAUGUCGAAUACCAUUCUUAGUUAAAAAAUUACUUAAAUGACUAUUCAUAAAUUCCUUUGCAUUAUCGGUUUGCCAGACUAAAACCAAUGUACGAUAUUGAUUUCUAAUAAAAAUCCAAAAAUCACAAAAAGCUUUACUUACCUCACUUUUGUUCAGAAGUAAGGUUAUCCAAGUCAUACGAGUACAUUCGUCUAUAAAAGUUACGAAAUAUCUAGCACCUGAUAAUGAAGGAAUUUUUGCAGGACCCCAAACAUCAGAAUGUAUAACAGCAAAUGGUUCAGUACUUUUAUUAAAACUAGGCAAAUAAGUAGCACGGUGGCUCUUAGCAAGUUCACACACAUCACAAUUAAACACGGAAUCAUCCAAAUUAACAAACAAUUCAGGUUUUAAUUUUUUCAAAUAACUAAAUGACAAAUGUCCAAGGCGUCGAUGCCAUAGCCAAAUUUUUUCCCUUGCAUUAUUUAAGCUUUCAGUCGUGUAAACCUCACUUAUUUUCUUCCCUCCUGUCUCGGUCAAGUCUAGAUAAUAAAGUUUGCCUCGUUUAACACCAUAACCAAGAGUCUCCCGAGUUAGGAUGUCCUGAAAAACACAAUAUGAAGGCCAGAAAGUUACAGUACAGUUAAGAGACGAGGUUAUUUGUCCAACCGAGAGUAAGUUACAAGACAGUGUAGGAACAAUCAAUACAGAUUUUAAAUUCAGAUUUUUUGAAAGAGUAAUGGAUCCUUCUCCACUAACAAUACAUUCGGAUCCAUUUGCUGUUGACACGGUAGAAUGAGAGGAUGGAAUGAAAGAAUGAAUUCGAUCAGAAUUGCAUACCAUAUGAUUAGAUGCACCUGUGUCUAUUAUCCAGGUAUUCGAUCUUAAUAGAGUAGAUGGAGUAUUCUUACCAACACUUCCUGCUAGUGCAACGUGAGCAGUAGGAUUUUCACCAUCUCCGGAUUCUCUUCCAUUUGUAUGAGUUGUAACCGUCUUUGCAACAGCCUUCUUCCUGGGUUUCUUUGUAAAGUCCCACCAAUCUGGAUACCCAAUGAUCUCAUAACAACGCUGUUUAGUAUGACCAGUCUCUCCACAAUGUUCACACAGCAAGUUACUAUUUUUUCCAACUCCAUUUUUCCUGUUUUUUCCAUAAUUCUGUCGAACCUGAAAUACGGUAGGCUCCAUAGUUGCAUUUGUUCCUCCCAUUGUCUUACGUUGUUGAUCUUCUCUUCGAACAUAAGCAUAUGUUUGUUCUAAAUCAAGUUUAGGGUCUUUGCGCAGAAUCUCACCUCGGACUUGAUCAAAGUCUGAAUCAAGCCCACUGAGGAAGAUAUGCACGCAUAGCCUUGCCAUGGCAGAAUGCAAUGCUACUACUCCAUCCACUGUACCUUCAUGUGACUGAGUACGAUGAUCUAUCUCUUGGAAGAUUUCCAUCAACUCAGAGUAAUACGUAGGCAAUGGUCUGCCCUCUUGUUUGAUUGCGAAAGACUUCUGAUUCAAUUCGAAUAACCUCGUUUCAUCAGUUCCAUCGUAAAAUGUUUUUGUUGCUGCCUCCCAAACAUCUUUGGCAGUAGGAAGUCUGAUGAAACGUUGCAUCAGUGAAGGUAUCAUUGAAUCAAUCAGCCAGCUCUUUACCUUUUGAUUCUCAGUUAUCCAGGUAGAGUAUCUCGCAUCUGUAGUUGCAGGCUUCGCUUCCGAUCCGGUUAAAUACCCAGUUUUAUUUCGUGCUCCAAUACGCAUCUCCAUGAGCUGUGACCAUAGAGAAUAAUUCGAUUCGUCCAGUAUAACAUUGGUAGGGAAUGAUACAUUAUCUUGUUGAAUGAUAAUUUGAUUCGAAGACGGAUUCGUGAUUUGAGUAUGAGGUGGAUCUUCUGUACUCAUAAUUCUGUUUAGGGAUUCAGUUUUUAUUUGAAAAAAUUUGUUUUCAGUAUGGUGAGCGGCUGCUCUGAUACCAUGUGAGUAAUGAAACCCUAAUAAUUGAUUAAUUUCCGUCUACUUUUCUCUAUUCAUUCAACCUGAAUAUAUACAGAAGUUUGUUACAAGGAUAACUUCUAACUACUUACGUAAUAAGCAACCUUAUCAAAAAUACAAUUAGAAUAACAUCUAACUACUACAGCUUAUACAUACUUAUCUCUAUACUAACAAAUUAACUAAAUAUAGUUAACAAUACUCGUAGUAUAUUUCGAAUGAUACCAUUUGUAUACUCAAGAUAAACUUGAUAUCGAAUCUCCAUUCUUGUCGCUCCAUUUUAAUUUUGAUUUGAUUUGACAUUAUUUGUAUGAAGUUACUGUUCUUUGGCAUGAAAAUGUUCGUUACAUCAAAGUUUGCAUGGGUCAAGAUUCAUCAAAAAUUAUAUUUAGCUUUCUUGGAAAUCUUUUUCCAAAUUCGCGUGUUGGAUCGUGUCACAAAUUGCAAGGUUCACAUUAUAGUAGAUACAAUAGAAGCAAAUGCUAAACAUCCAAAAAUCCUUAAAUGAUCAUUAAUUAAUAAAAAAUAAUAAAAUAAAAAUUUAACUAUUAAUAUUUACAUGCAUCACAUGCAAAUAAUAAUAAAAAAACUAGUUAUUAUAAGAGCACAAAUAAGAUUAGAAAACGAUCCAUCCUUUUUAACUCAAAUACACUCCAUGAGCUCACCUCUCCAGAUGUACUAAACAAAUAAUUAAAGAAUUACAAAAUAAAAUUUGUGGACCUAAAUGAGACACUAAAUUGAAAAAAAAAAAAAAAAAAGACCUUAGAGAAUAUCUCCCAAAACGACACUCUAAAGUACAACUCACUUGCAUUCCAUUUUCUGAUUGUUGCUUAUGAUGAUGUUGAAAGCCUCGCACAAGGCUAUCCAUUCACAGUGCAAAAAAGUGGGAAGAUGUGGACAGAAGAGCUCCUCCGCCCUUUUAUCUUUCAUGCCGACAAAAGACACUUGGUUAUAAAUUCAAUCACGUGGAACAUGUUACUUAAAAAGGAGGCAAUCUCAUAUGUUCUGGAGUAUGAUAAGAAGAUGAAUAGCUGAAGGCAAUCUCAUAUGUUAUGGCGUAUGAUAAGAAGAUGAAUUGAGUUUCAGCUAUUAAGGGCAAUCUCAUAUGUUUUGGGGUAUGAUAAGAAGAUGAAUGAGAAAUAAAUUUCCACAUUGAUUUGAAAUUUUUUGAAACCUUGAUUCAUUUUCUUCACUUAGGCCCACAAGUUAUGAGAAAUACAAAGCAAUGCUUCAACUUGCUGAUUGGGAGAGACUUUCUCAACAUAAUAUUGGGAUUAUUUAAAUAUCAAUUAUUUUAAUAGAAAUAUAUCUUGAAAAAUAAUAUCAUUUUAUACCAACGUGUUUCAUCCUCUCAUUAAAUACUUAAUGUUUAAUUAAAUGAAUAGCAUCUUAGCUAUCGCAAUCCACAAUAUUCUCUCCGGACAAACUAUCAUUUAAAUGGUUUCUUUAAUGGCUAUCAUAAUGGAUAAUGCUACUGUAAACUGUAAAAAACCUUUCCAAAUGAUAGCAAUAUUACUAAGAUAAAUUUAUGAUCAUAACGGAUCGUUUAUAUAGUUUUUAAUAAGCAGAAAGAUAAUUAUUUAUUUUUUAAAUUUUUAAAAUUUUAUUUGUACAAUUAAUAAAUAUCUAAUGAUAAAAUUUCAUGGUAUGAUAUAUUUAAAUAUUUGUUAUCUUUCUUAUUAUUUAUUUAUUUCCUUAUUGAGUUUAUCUUUAUUUUUUUUUUUAUGAAAAGUGAACGGGUUCUUUAUAGAAAUACCUCUUUUAUAACAAUAAUUGCAAUUUUAUCUCAGAAAAGAAAGUCUGCAAAAAUAUGCUUCUAAAAAAAAUAUUUAUAAAAAUAUGAUCAAGUCAAAUAUCUUAAACAUUAACUAAACAUCAACCAUAUCAAAAAUCUUUAAAGGGACUCACACAUCAACUAAAAUCGGAAAAAAAUCAAUAACAUCAACUAGUUAUAAAAAGAAAAAGAACAUUAAAUAAACAAGAACUAACAAAAAAAAUUAAAAUCUAAAAAAGAAAGGAUAGAUAAUGCAUAAAAAAAUCAACCAAACGUCAACUAAACAUCAAUAAAAAAAAUCAUUCAAAAAGUAACAAUGUCAUAUUCUAAACUUUUCAAAUUUACUAUUAAAAAUUUAAUUUAUUUGAGUAUUAAUAAAUAUAUUUCACAAAUAUGUGUACUAUACAAUCAAUUUCUUAUACUAACAUAGAUUGAAGCAAAUGUGAUGUCUUAAAUACAUUCAGUCUAAAUAUUUUUAUAACAAUUAUUAUUACUAAAUUAAAAUGAUGAUUAACUAAUAAAAACAACUGAAAUUAAUAAAGACAUAUUGCUAAAGUAAUCAUUCAUUAAACAAAGAGAUAACAAGAUUCAUACAAAGUAAAUAAAUUAAACUAAAUACUUAAAGAAAAUUAGUCUAACAUAUUUAAUCCCAUGAUCAUAAUAAUUAAAUAGUUAAACAUAAAAAUUAGAUUGAAAAUAAAAGCUCCCUCUAGAUCUAGAAUUUCUUCAAGGUAGAAAGAUAAUUGAUUAUCACUCUUCACUUCUUGAAUUUUUUUUUUUUAUUCUUGAAAGAAUAACAAAACCAAAAACUAGGUGUUUGUGAUGAAAAACUAUAGAGGGAAUUGCAGAAAAAGGAAUAAUUGACAGAUGUAAAAUAAUGAGUUGUGUGUCUGUUCUCCAAUACUCAUUUAGAUUUAUAUAAUAUGGACCUAUCACUCUUACUACUACUAUCAUUACACUGUUCUCACUAUAUUUUCAUCAAUUUUUCAAAAGAAAUAUCUAUCCAAUUUGUGCAACAACUUGUCUUCUUCAAUUCAUUAUUAUAAAUAUCUAGAACAAAAUUAAUUAUUAUUAAAAAAUGACAAUCUUGACUAUAGUGUUGAUUACUAAUACUUCUGCUUAUGACAUGUAUAGUAUUUAUUUAUAUUUAUUUUUAUAAUUUUAUUGUUUAAAUGAAAGGUUUGUCUUUCUAUAUGUAAAUAUUAUUUUUCAGUAUGAGAAUAUAUAAUAAAAUUUGAUUUAUCUAAAUUAAAUCUUUUUUAUAUACUGACCGGUUCAAUACACUCAAAUAUCAAUAAUUUUUAAUUUUAUAUAUUAAAUUGUAACUUUAAAAAAGUUUAAAUACUCAAUUAUUAAAUUUUAUUAAUUCCGCACACUAUUUUAUAAUUAUUUUAAAAAAAAAUCAUUGAGUUGUUGGCUUAUUAUGUACAUUCAAAUUAUCCCCCGUGCUCAAUUCGCAGCCAUACUUAUUAUCUAAUGUGUUAAAUUUUUCUUAUAUAUUUCCAACUGCUUUGAUACGUUAGGCACAAGGAAGCAUUCCAACUUGAAAUAUAACGAACACUUAGUGAUCAAAAUAGCUGAGAAAGAUAAGUUUCGUCCUUUGGCAAAUUUUCCCUCUACAGUAUGGGGUUGCAGCUUUGCUUCAUUUUCCUCCUUGAAUCCAGUAAACUAUUCUUCCAUUUUCUUAAUCGUUCUUCUUCUUUUUUUUUUUUUUAUUUUGAAAAUCCCAUGUGCUUUUAUGAAUAAUGUAUUUAUUUUAUAUUAUUAUCUGAAUAAACAAGUUUUUAAUGCAGGAGUUCGAAUCAUACAGUAGAGAGGUAGAAAGACUCAAAGAAAAAGUUAAACUCAUGGUGACGGCUUCCACAAAAGAGCCAAUGGAGAAUGUUCAGAUUAUCAACUUGUUAUACCGUCUUGGGGUUUCAUAUCAUUUUCAGAAUGAGAUUACUGAGCAAUUAAAUCACAUUUUCGAAAUUAUUCCUAACCUCAUUAUUAAUGACUAUGGCCUCUACACUGGCGGUUCUGUUUCAAAUUUUACGACAGUAUGGACACAAAGUGCCUUGCGGUAAGUAUAAUUACAUAGGCUAUUAGUAGCUGUAGCGCCAUAAAACUGAUUUCAAUAUGUCCCAGCUAAUCUAGAUCGAAUGGAAAUUAUUUACGGUGAAUUUGGUGUUGAACGAACAGAUGUGUUCAACAAAUUCAAGAACAGUGAUGGAGAGUUCAAGAAAAGCAUCGCCAAUGACGUGAAAGGCAUUCUGAGCUUGUAUGAAGCGAGUUUUCUAAGUGUGGAUGGAGAAGAUAUUCUAGAUGAAGCCAUAGCCUUUACAAGGCCACUCCUGGAAUCCUUUGCUGAUCAAUCAAGUCCCCAUCUAGCAAAAUAUAUAAGGAAUUCUCUGCUACGCCCUUAUCAUCAAGGCAUAGAAAGGUUAGAGGCUAGGCAAUACAUCUGUUUCUAUGAAGAAGAUGAGUCUUGCAAUGAAACUCUCCUUAAGUUUGCAAAGUUGGAUUUUAAUCGGUUACAAUUAUUGUACAAACAAGAGCUAGCCUCUCUCUCAAGGUAAACUUAAUUUUAUGAGUUUGUAUUUGAGACAGAAACAUGGGUUACCUUUUUCUUUUUGUUAAUUAAUUAGCUCCCAAAAUGAACAUAUAUUUAAUAUGCCAAAUACAUAUUUAUGCUUGUAAACUAUAGUCACUCUCGAUUUAAUUUAACAGGCACAUGGAUUUUAAUUUUUUUUAAUAAUUAAACACGUUUAACUUUUAAUUUAAUCUAAUACACAGAUAAUUUUAUUUUUUAGUAAUAUUUAAAUACUUUUAUACAAUACAUGUGAACUUAAUGAAUAAAGACAUACGUCAAAGAGUGUUAAAAUAUAAUAAAAGAACAAGUUUAUGUGUUUAUUAAAUUUUAUCUGAACCCGACUAAAUAGUCAAAGUUCAUGAGCAUAAAUAUGCAUUUAGCAUAUUUAUUAUUUGAGAUUAUAACUCUGCAAGAGAUUUUUCUUUUUUAAGAUUUUGGAACAAGUGCAUGCAAUAACUUUUUAUAAUUGCUAAUGUAUUUGUACAUGUCAGGUGGUGGAAAGACUUAAAUCUAGCUGAGGAGCUCCCUUACAUGAGAGAUAGACUUGUGGAGACUUAUCUUUGGGCAAUCGGAAACCAUUUUGAGCCUCAAUAUGCCUUUUCUCGAGCGAUGAUUACUAAGUAUACAGUAAUUGUAUCCACAGUAGAUGAUACAUAUGAUGCAUAUGGUACAAUUGAUGAACUCCAGUGUUUUACAAAUGCAUUCCUAAGGUACUAUGACUUUGUUUUUAUUAGCUAAUAAAUAAUAUUUAUGUUAUUAGCUUAUUGAUAAUAUUUAAACUAAAAAAAAAACAAUCAAUAUAAAGCUAGAAGUUGGCUCAUAUUAUUUAUAAUAUUAAUAAGCUAAAUCCAACAAAUAAUUUGGUUCAUAUUUUUUAUUUUAAAUGUCACAUAUUUACAAAGUGAAGGUCCUACCAUUACCUGAUUUACCUAUAUAAUACGUAGAAGUUUAUCUAGAAAAACCCUAAUCUUAUAAUCAAAUUACCAAUCAUGCAGAACAAGUGAAUAAUAAUUGCUUCUUUCAUAAAUUUGGAGGGGCGACUUUGAUGCUAUUGAUGGAGUACCAGAAUACAUGAAAGUUCUUUCCAAGGGCUUGCUGAAAUUCUUUAAUCAAAUAGAGGCUGAGGGAAGGUCCUACCGUACUUCUUUUGCUAACGAAGCGGUAAGAUUUAUGUAGACAUUGAUAGUCUUUUCAAGCCUUCUUGUGAACCGGGACUUCAUUUGAUAUAUACUGAAGUGCAAUUUCUUCUUAUUUCUUUGUUUUCUUUUUGCAUUUUUUUCUAAUGCUCGCAUAGUUCAAAGAACUGGUGAAAGCAUACAUCGUUGAGGCACAGUGGUUUAGUGAUGGCUAUGUGCCAUUAUUCGAUGAAUAUAUGCGCAAUGGAUUAAUAACGAGCGGCUAUAGAGUACUUCCAGCAGCAUCUUUUAUUGGAAUGGAAAAUACUGUAGGGGCCGAGGAUUACAAGUGGGUACAAAGUAAUCCAAAAAUUGUCAGAGCGGCUCAGAUGAUUGGUCGUCUGAUGAAUGACAUAGCAUCCCAUGAGGUAAUAUAUUAUAUUAUGUAAUAAAGUUAUUGUAUUUCAUUUAUCAUGCCAGGUUUAAAUAUUUGAUUUGGUAUUUAUUAUUUAAAUUGAAAUCAGGAUGAGCAAAAGAGGGGACAUUGUGCUUCGGCUAUAGAGUGCUAUAUGAACCAAUAUGGUGUUUCAGAAAAGAAAGCCAUUGAAGAGAUUCAGAAAAUAUGUGGAUAUGCAUGGAAAGACAUAAAAGAGGACUGCAUGAAGAAGCCAUCUGCUGUUUCGAGGAUUCUUCUCAAGUAUUAUCUGAACCUUGUGCGCGUCACAGAUUUUAUUUACAAGUACAUUGAUGCAUAUACAAUUGCAACCUAUAUAAAGCAGGACAUCACAGCAUUGUUCCUGGAGCCGCUGUCCGUUUAGGAUCGGAGCAAUUGGAUUUUCUUAUAUAUGCUUGUGCAGUGAUAAAUAAUUGUAUAAUUCUCUGUGGCUUAUGCGUUUUGUGUAAUUAAGACUUGUCUUUCCUUUUUUUUUUUGAUCGAACAAUUAAAUCCAUUAAUGGAAGGAAAAGUUGGAUACAAGCAAAAAGGAUAACUCAGGGGGAGGGCAAGAAACCCAAGCAUGAGGGAGACUCCCUGAUAACAGACACUUUGCUAACCACCUAGCCGGUUUAUUUCUAGAUUUGGAGACAACAAACCACCUAACCAACUCAAAGGAUUGGAUUCUCUCCCUUGCUUGGUCCACAACAUUAGCCAUCUCCCAAUCAACCUAAGAACCAUUAGAUAAAGCAGAAACAAUACAACUGUUUUCUCAAAACACAUCAAAGCUUGCUAAAUUAAGAGUUUCUGCAAAUUGUAGACAAGCAGAAAUAGCUAAAGCAUAUAUAAAGACACUGGAUAAUAGAGGGGCUUCCAGCUCCAAUAUACUAGUCAUUAUCCGCGUGUUGUACGACCAUUGUAAUUAUUUUGAUUAUAAAUAAUAAUAUAAAUCAAGUUUAUAUAAAUAAAAUUUAAUAAAUUUUUCAAUAUCGUAUAAUUAUUUAUAAUAUUUUAAAAAUAAAUAUAAAUUAAAUAUUUUUAAAGUUUUAUAAAUUUCUUAAUACUUUAAAUUUUUAUUGGUUUCAAAAGAAGAUUUUAUUAGUGCAAUAAUAUAAAAGUUCUUUAAAAAUAUCUAUCAAUAGAUUUUUAGUACUAUAUAAAUUAAUACUGUAAAAAAUAGUGACAUUACUAUCUUUAGGAUUAAAGGUUAUUAUAUAAUUAGAAAAUUAACUUAUUAGUUAAUGAUAUUAUUAUUUAUUUAUAAUUAGAAUUAUUGUCUAGUUAGAAAAUUAUUUUUUAAUUAAUCUAUAUUAAAAUAAAUUAAAAGCUAUUUUUAGAAUUAAAAUUAUUAUCUAAUUAGGAAUAUAGUUUUUUAAUUGAUAAAUUAAUUAAAAAAAUAAUAAAAUUACAGAAAUAUGAAGGUUGAGGAUUCCUUCAGCUUUGCAAUCUGUAUGUACAAUCCCAACAGAAACUAUUAAGUAUAUGAACAAUAAAAGUAUCUUCUGAUCUAUUUGCUUAUUUAAGAUACUUUAAUUUAUACGUUCUUCACUGAACAUCAACGAAAAAGAAUAAAUAAAUAAUUUAUACUUCGUAGCCACAAUAAUAUUUGGAGCUAAAUUCAAUCACUAAAAUUUCAUCUUCGCCCCAUUGUUGGUCGAUGGUCUCCUUUUAUUAUUCUUUUUAUUAGUUAAUUUUAAUAAAUAAAUAUUAAGAUAUUUUCUAAAAUGUUAUAUGAUUUUUCCAUUAUAGAGAUGAUAAAUUUUUUUAUAUAUAAGUAGUGAUAUAGAUGUUGAAUUCUCUCUUUGUGAGAGCAAUGAAAAAAAUAAAAAGAUUAAUUUUAUUUAAAUAAUUGGACUCGUCAAAAAAUACUUAUAAAAUUGAUAUAUAGUUUAGUGUCACUGAAUGAAAUGUACGUGCUGCAAAAUUGUAAUAUAUUAUUCCAUCAACACGAUUGAUGGUUAUUAGAAAUAGAUUUAUAUAUUUCUUUUAUUUUUUAUAUCAAAAUUUAUUUGUUAAUCUUCAUAAAUUGAAUAUUCAUUUUUUUUUAAAUGUCACAAUUUGGAUGACUAGCCUUAAUUUAAUAAGUUUCUCCCAUAAUGAUAUUGACAUUUAUGUAAUUUAUAUCAUUAGCCCAUGGAUACUGACCCAAAAGAAUAAUGAUAAAAAAACAUAAGACCAAACGUUGCUACUUUCCUAGAAAAAUGAAUCUAUUUUCUUCCUAGUCAGCCUCCAAGUCUUUUAGCUUUAUUUACAAAUGACUAUAAAUAAUAGCAGCAGUGAAGAAGCAAUUAGUCAAAUUAACAAACUCCCUAAUCUGUAAAUAUGAAAGUUUUUUUCAUAAUAUGCAUUUUCUCUGUUGCCAUUCUCUUUUGCUUCCUCUUCAACUACUGCUCGACAAUUAGCUGUUCAGUCUGAAAAAGGUACAUCAGAUUACUCUUUAAUCAUUUCCAUCAGUUGUUUAUAAUUUUAUAUUUUAUUUUUUAAUCUGUUAUUAUAUUUUUAUAUUUCUUUAGAUCAUACAACGAGUCAUUGAACUCUCAAAUAACAUUAUAGUAUAAAUAUUUAUUUGCAUUUCUUUUAAUGUUAUAGCUCGCACCACUAUUGGAGGCUCCAUUACUCUCCGUUUGAAUGCAACCGCGGCAAUUGGUAUUGUAUUCCUUCUAAGAGCCCUCCGAAAAGCCCUUGCAACCCUACAGCCACAAGGCUUGUCCCCCUAACACAGCCCUUGAAGACGAGUCAUGCAGUUAUCUAUAAGUCCUAAUAUCUGUAUGGGCUCACUCUUUCUAAAUAAUGGGAAAGAGGACAUAAACAUGCAAUUGAAAGACUCUACUGAGACAAAGAUGGGCUGUCAAGAAUGUAGAAGAGGUAAGAUGGGCAGUUGAUCGGAUCUAGUAUGGAUCGUACAUGGAUGAUAGUUGGAAUCGGCGGCUCUCCUAGGGUUCCCUCAUCUGGGAUCCCUAGGUAAAGAGAAUAGAUGGAGUUCUUAGCCAACGAUAUUAGUCUUGAGAAUUUGCUUACCUUAGUUUUCAGUGAAUGUAAAUGUGACAAAGUCUAUCAUCUUAUAAGUAAAGGUAUAAUAUAUUUAACUAUAAGUCUAUUCCAUUUAUUUUUAGUUCAAUUUUUUAAUGCAAAUAUAGAAUAGAAAGAAAAACGUAUAUGAAUGUAAGAAAUGCAAAUAUAGAAAAAAAAAUUGUAUCAGAAAGAUGAAUUAAUACUCCAUUUGAUUAUUAUUUUUUAAAAAAUAAAACUCAUUAUUUCAUUAACUAAAUAGUAUGAGUUAAUUAUUGCUUUAAAUGGCUCAACUAUAUAUAUCCAGGCUUAAUUAGAUGUUCUGAGAGGAACAUAAUUAGAUCUCAAACAUUAUAUUAAUUGUGUGCUAGUGAAAGGUAAAAGCGUUUGCUCUUGAAAGUGGGAAGUUUCAAGUUCGAGUGAUUUCUUAUUCAUUAGAUAAAUUUUUAUUUUUAUAGUGAGUGUAAAGAAAUGACUGUCCCUAUUGUAUAGUCUAUUUCCCAUUGGCCUUCUAACGAAUAAAAAAAGAAAAAAAAAAGCAUGCAUUGGCCUCUCCUCUAAUCUCAAGUCCUCUAGUAAGUCUAUGGCCUCUCCUCUAAUCUCAAGUCCACUAGUAAGUCUAUGGCCUCAUGUUUUCAAAUUAUCUCUAAUUCAAUAUAAGUUUCACAGAUAUUUACUUCUGUGGAUGGAAUGGUACCCACAUGUACACUUAGAAAUUAAAUUUCACCAAAAGAAAAGAAAAAUGAAAAUUGGCUUCUAUUCUUCCAAAAAUAUUGACUACUUAAAAGAUAAGGAAAAAAAGAGAAAAAAAUUAAUGUUCUUACGAUAUGUUGUGGUCAUCUAAUGGAGAUAUUUCACCAAAAUUUUGUUUUUUUUCUUCCCUUUUCUUUUUUAAAUUAAAAUUAAAACUAGUUAUUUAUCCGUGUGUUACACGGCGUUAUUAUUAUUUUAGUUAUAAAAUUAAGUUGAUAGAUACAAUUUAAUAAAAAUUUUAAUAUUUAAUAUUGAUUUAUAAAAUUUUAAAAAAAUAAAUAGCAAACUAACUAUUUUUAAAUGUUGUUUAUUUAAAAAUAAUUAUUAAUACAAUAAUAUAAAAAUUAUUGAUUAAUUAAUUUCAAUAUUAUAUCAAUUAACAUAUCAAUAUAAUUGACAUUACUAUUUUUUAAGAUUAAAAAUUAUUAUAUAAUUAGAAAUUAUCUUAUUAUUAAAUAUACUAUUAAAAAAUAAUUUAAAAUGUUAUCUUCUAGAAUUAGAAUUAUUAUCUAAUUAUAAAAUUAAUUUAUUAGUUAAUAUAAUAUUAAAAUAUAAUUUAUAUACUAUUUCUUAAGAUAGAAUUAGUAUCAUUAUCUUAUUAGGAAACUAUUUAUUAAUUAAUGUAAUAUUAGAAAAUAGUUAAUAUGCUAGUUUUUAGGAUUAGAGCUGUGCUUAAUUAGGAAUAUAAAUUAGAAAUCAAUAAUUUGAAUCUCAUGUGUCAACGAGUUUCUCAAUUAAAAAUUACUCAAAUAAUAUUAUAUUAUAAAUGUCCUUUUGCAUUGUUUUUGCAUUUUUAAAUUACUCCAUUUCGAUGUUACCAUAGCAACCAAUAUUGUAUUAAUCCUUUCAGAAACGCUUGCAGCCCUUGCAUCUGCGAUUAUCAUUUUGAUCCGUUUCAAAUUCGAAUAGAAAUAUCUGUAUUACUAUCUGAAUUCUAUAAAAAUAUGUUUAAUAUAUAGCUAUUAAAUAAAUUUUAUGAAUAUUUAAACAUAUAGCAGAUACCUUAACUGUUAAAUACUAGUUUAUAUAAAUAUUUAGUAUCUACACCCUACUUGUUAAAUAUCAGUUAUAAAUAUUUGAUAUAAAUAUCCAUUUACUGAAUCCGUUUAUAGGAAUUAAAUUCUAAAAUAUAUCAAUAAAAUUUAAUAAAAAAAUUACAAAAUCUAAAGUAUGUAAUUUUAAAUGAAAGUUUAAAAUUUAAAUUUUAUUAUUAUUUUCUUUCAUAUACAUAAUAUAUAUGUAUAUACUAUUUAAACAGGUAUCAAAUACUAAAAUUCGGGUACGGUAUAUCAAACUCUUUAUUUUAAGGAGUUUUAUUAUAAAAUAACACUCCAAUGCACUCUUUUUAUUCUUUGAAUAUAAAGUAGAGUGUCAAUUUGGCUUUCUACAUAUAAAGAGUCAAACUUCCCUAUCUACUCUAUAUUUAAUAAAUACAAUAUAAAUUUUUAUUUAUUUGACUUAAUUAAUAUUUGCAAUUCUUAUUUUUCUAUUGGUAAAAAUAAAAAAGAAAAGAAACUAGAAAUUAAAACUAUUAAUGUUUGUAGAAAUAAAGCAAGAUAUAGAAUAAAAUAUAAAGAUGUUAUUGGACUUAAAUAAAAUAUUUUACUCUUUAUAUAUGAAUAUUCUUUAAGGCGCUCUUUAUAAUAAAAAUUUAUACUCUUCAAAAUAAAAAAUAUUAUUGAAAAUGCUCUAAGAAAAGCAAAUACAGAAAGCAGACUGAAAGAAAAGAAUUGUAUCAUAAAGGUGAAUUAGUACUCGAUAUAAAAUACUUUCGUAACUUCUAAAUUAACAAAUGAGUUGAAUAGCUUAAUUGCUAAAUAGGAACCAAGUGGAUUUGGACAUAUUACUCCUUGGUGGAGAUGGUAUGUUAAUGGUUGCUUCAAGUUAGGGUAUAUACCUAUGUUUAUAUAUUUUAAAUAAGUGGUUUUCUUAUGUGUAAAGUCCAUUAAGUUGUCUAGCUUGAUGGUUGAGGCUCAUUGAUAGAGUUUCUUCACCCCUUUGGAUUUUCGAGUGAAGGAGGGUGCUCCAUUAGAUAUCCUCUACUUUUUCUCAUUUCGAAAUAGCUGGUGGUCAAUAUCAUUUAUUUUAUCUGGGGUUUCAUCAAUUCUUGUAUCAGUUACAGGAAAGUAGGUAUAGCGUUAUGGCGCCCUAGUCUGAUGGGUGAUAGUAUUAGUAUGGGAGAGGAGGAGCUGUCCAGGAGAUAAUACAAAAAACACAAACUGUCUUACAACUACACUCCAACCAGGCGAUGGACUCCAAGCUUUAUGAUAAACUCCUUGUUGGGAAAUCUUGACUUUUAAGUAUUUGUCGCGGCCCAUUGUUAAAUCUUACUUAUCAAGUUGUGGAAUUUAUCUAGGAACUUCUUGAUGCAACAUCAUAAGUCAAACAUAUUCAUUUUUGAGUUGGAAUCUACCACGGAUAAGGAAAAGGUUAUGGAAGGUGCUCCUUGGUCUAUCUCAAACUCCUUAAUGGUACUCUCUGAACGGCCUGCAGACUCAUUGCAAUAGCUACAUUUUUCGGUUUAUCCAUUCUGGGUUGAAAUCCACAACCUGGCUCCCGAUGAAGUGAACCAAGAAAAUGAUAAGGCCAUCAGUCGACUUAUUGAUUAGCUUGUAAAGUUGGAAGAAGUCCCUCCUAGUAUAUGAUACCAUCAUAUCAUGAGGAUUUGAGUCUUGGUAGAUGUGGAGGAGCCUCUGCCAAUGGAGUUUUUUAACGAUAGGAGUAGGAAGAAUAUGGGUUUUCGUGAGUCUGAAUGGAUAGUAAGUCCCUCCUAGUAUAGGAUACCAUCAUGUCAUGAGGAUCCAAGUCUUGGUAGAUGUGGAGAAGCCUCUGCUAGUGGGCUUUUUAACAAUAAGAGUAGGAAGAGUAUGGGUUUUCAUGAGUCUGAAUUGAUAGUAUUUAGUUAUGAAAGACUUUACCUCAAUUUUGCUUUCUAUAUGGUAGAAUUGGGCAUGACUUAAGGUUGUGCCCCUAUCAGGAUGAGGAGGAAUUCCAGCGGCUGAUUGAAACAUGCAAGUUUAAGUAUGGGAACUGGUUACGGUGGGAAUGCAAGGGAAUAAAAUCAUUAGCAAUGAGAGUUUAGGGUCCAAAAGAAACUAGAAAAUAAAUUCCAUUAAAAGUAUGAGUAUCUCAGAUGAUAAAGCAACUCCAAUGGAGGAUGAGGGAGCAUAUCAGCUGGCGGUUGUAGCCCAUGUGCCAUCAGUUGCUAGUAUGGGAGGCAAGGACGACAGACUAAAAGAAAAUUUAUAAUUAGUUGAUUAAUUUAGUUUUUUUAUUAAUUUAAUAUAAUUGAUAAAAAAAAUAAUACAUAGUAAUAAUAUAAGGAUAAAAUUUAUAUAUAAUUAAAAUAUUAAAAAAUUAUAAACAAAAAAAAAUAGAAAUAAAACAGGAAAAAAUUUUAUUUAAAAAUUCUAAAUUCCAAUCAAUUGAUUAUUGAGUUUAUUUUAUUGACAUAGGAUAAAAUUAGUUUCCAUGUUCUUUGUAUUUUUUAGUCCCAUAAGAUUAUUUUUUAUAGGAAGGAACCCCUUUUGUUAAUUACUUAUCAAAUUAUUUAUAACUUAUAAAAUUAAUACUAAUUUAUAACUACCAAUAAAUAAAUUUAACAUAUUAUUAGAGACAACUGAAAAUCCACAAGUAUAUUAAUUUAAUGAAAUAAUAUGGUACUAUUCAAAAUUAAUAUUCCUAAUAAGGGUAAUGUAAUAGAAUUUGUCUAUUUGAGUUUUUCUUUAUUCAAACCUCUUUUAUUAAAGUUAUAAUCCACCACUAACGUACAUUAAACCUUUAUUACUUUUUCAUUUAAUCUUUUUCUUCUCUAUUUUAUUAUUAUUUUUUAUAAAUAUUUUUAUAAAUAAUUUUAUAAAUUUAGUUAUCACUGUUGCUAUAAAAUUCAGAUGUUGUCCAACACUAUAUAAAGUUAUAAUGAAAUAUAUUAAUUAGCAAUUAUUUUAAUUUUAGAUAAUAAUAUUAUAUAAGUAUUAAUCCGUUUUAGAUUUCUUUUCAAUUUUAUUCUAAUUUAAAUUUUUAUAUUUUUAUUAAAUAUUUAAAGAAAUCUUAAUUUCUCACAAAAGAUGUUAAUAUGCAAAGUUGGUGAUUUAUUUCAAAUUUCUUAUAUCAGUUAUUAAUAUGUGUGUAAUAAAUAUUAGUUAAUAGAUUCAAAUUUUAGCACCAAUAAAUAUUAGUUAGUUGAAUAAUUUUAAUAAAUAAAAUAGUAAGUUGUUUUUUUAUUAUAAUUAAAUUAUACUUCUUUCUCGUUUUGAUAAUCAAUAUUUUUAUCAAUUUGUAAAGAAAAAGUUUACAAUUAAAAGUAGUUACUAAAACUAAGAGAUUUAUUCAAAUAGAUUGGAAAAGAGUCUCAAUUGUAAGUGAAAAAAUUUCAAGUUAAAUAUAUAUCAAUACAACUUAAACUUAAAUACAUUCUAAUAACCAAAGGCAAAGCAAAAUAUAAUAAUAUUAUACUUAAUACACUGUAAAAACUGAUUUGAUAGUUGUUUAUAAUAUAUCCUAUUUACUGACUUAAAUUUGGAAAAGUAAUAAUUAUACCAUUCAAGGAUAACAAGGACUAAACAUAGAGUUGCUACUCCCUAGGAAAAAUCUAAACAUAAUGAAUUUCUAUUCUUCUUAGUCAACUUUUAAGUCUUUGCCUUUAUGUUUAAUAUAUAAAUAAAAUAUAUAUUUUCUUUUUUCGAAAUAAAAUUUGUGAAUUAUAACCGGCUAUAAAUAACAGUAGUAACAAUGAAGAGGCAAUUGUCAAAUAUUAACAAACUCAAUAAUCUCCAAACAUGAAAGCCUCUUUGAUAAUAUGCAUUCUCUUGGUUGCCAUUCUCUUUUCUCCCUCUUCAACUUCUGCUCGACAAUUAGCUGCUUUUGGCACCGGCAACCCAAAACUUCCUCCAUUUGAAUGCGGCCGUGGCAAACCAUAUUGUAUUCC